UACGAAGGGGGCGAGCGUUGUUCGGAUUUACUGGGCGUAAAGGGCGCGCAGGCGGCGCAUUUUGUCAGGCGUGAAAGCCCCCGGGCUUAACCUGGGAACUGCGUUUGAUACGGAUGGGCUAGAGUUCGGGAGAGGAGAGUGGAAUUCCCAGUGUAGAGGUGAAAUUCGUAGAUAUUGGGAAGAACACCGGUGGCGAAGGCGGCUCUCUGGACCGAGACUGACGCUGAGGCGCGAAAAGCGUGGGGAGCAAACAGG
RNAcentral lists this ribosomal RNA (255 nucleotides) under uncultured bacterium. RNAcentral's name for it is "partial 16S ribosomal RNA". It matches the Rfam family "Bacterial small subunit ribosomal RNA", at positions 524 to 776 of the family's 1533-position model. The record is from RNAcentral.